GUAUCCUUGACUAAUAAUACGUCAUCGAACACAAAACAUACCAUCUUUCUGAAGAGGUUUACUGGUAUCAUUUAUAUUGGUGGUUCAUUGUAACACAAAACAUAACAUGAUUAUGUUGAGGUAUUCUGGUAUCCUUGACUAAUAGUGCUUCAUUGUAGCACAAAACAUACCAUUGUUAUGUUGAGGUAUUCUGGUAUCCUUGACUAAUAGUGCUUCAUUGUAGCACAAAACAUACCAUUGUUAUGUUGAGGUAUUCUGGUAUCCUUGACUAAUAGUGCUUCAUUGUAGCACAAAACAUACCAUUGUUAUGUUGAGGUAUUCUGGUAUCCUUGACUAAUAGUGCUUCAUUGUAGCACAAAACAUACCAUUGUUAUGUUGAGGUAUUCUGGUAUCCUUGACUAAUAGUGCUUCAUUGUAGCACAAAACAUACCAUUGUUAUGUUGAGGUAUUCUGGUAUCCUUGACUAAUAGUGCUUCAUUGUAGCACAAAACAUACCAUUGUUAUGUUGAGGUAUUCUGGUAUCCUUGACUAAUAGUGCUUCAUUGUAGCACAAAACAUACCAUUGUUAUGUUGAGGUAUUCUGGUAUCCUUGGCUAAUAGUGCUUCAUUGUAGCACAAAACAUACCAUUGUUAUGUUGAGGUAUUCUGGUAUCCUUGACUAAUAGUGCUUCAUUGUAGCACAAAACAUACCAUUGUUAUGAAGAGGUUUAAUUGUUUCUCUUAUGGUUUUGGCCCGUUUUCUAUUUCUUGCAUGAAUAGAUAUUUCUCGUAUCACACUUCAUUACAUUAUGAAGCGUACAAAAAGUUUUAAAAUGUCUGAUGUUAAAGGUCGACGCCGGAACAGGACAUGGAACGUCUAAUUGGUAUGUAUUUUAAAUAUCAAGCAAUAUCAAUUUCUCACGGAUAUCCUUGACUAACGUGCUUCAUUGUAACACUAACCAUACCAUCAUUAUGUGAGGUAUACCGGUAUCCCUGAUUAUAGUGCUUCAUCGAACACAAAACAUACCAUCGUUAUGUUGAGGUAUACUGGUAUCUCUAAAUAAAGUGCUUUAUUGUAGCGCAUAACAUACCAUUAUUAUGUAGAGGUAUACUGGUAUCGUUGAAUAUAGUGCUGCAUUGUAACACUA
Mytilus californianus (California mussel) is the source of this 1127-nucleotide long non-coding RNA. RefSeq lists it as uncharacterized. The record is from RefSeq and is a predicted model, not a curated record. The transcript has 4 exons. NCBI's taxonomy places the organism in Eukaryota, Metazoa, Mollusca, Bivalvia, Mytilida, Mytilidae.